AACGAACGCUGGCGGCAGGCCUAAAACAUGCAAGUCGAACGAUGUAGCAAUACAUAGUGGCGCACGGGUGAGUAACACGUGGGAACAUACCCUUUGGUGCGGAACAACGUCGGGAAACUGACGCUAAUACCGCAUAAUAUCUACGGAUCAAAGAUUUAUCGCCAAGGGAUUUGGCCCGCGCUAGAUUAGGUAGUUGGUGA
This 200-nucleotide ribosomal RNA is filed under the name uncultured bacterium. Its description in RNAcentral is "partial 16S ribosomal RNA". It matches the Rfam family "Bacterial small subunit ribosomal RNA", at positions 29 to 255 of the family's 1533-position model. The record is from RNAcentral.